UCACUGAUGUUGUCGUAAUGUAUGACCAAAACACCAACCGUCCUAGAGGGUUUGGUUUCAUUACUUUUGAUAAUGAGGAUUCUGUUGAGGCUGUGCUUCAGAAGAGUUUCCAUGAGCUCAAAGGCAAACUUGUGGAGGUCAAGCGUGCACUUCCCAAGGAAAUGAAUUCUAGCAAUGGUUCUAACCGUCAAUCUGGUGGUGGCUCCUAUCAAUCCUCCAACACUAGCUCCUAUGAAGGUAGCAG
Molecule: unclassified non-coding RNA, 244 nt
Filed under: Hevea brasiliensis (rubber tree)
Lineage: Eukaryota; Viridiplantae; Streptophyta; Magnoliopsida; Malpighiales; Euphorbiaceae
Source: RNAcentral